UACGAAGGGGGCUAGCGUUGCUCGGAAUCACUGGGCGUAAAGCGCACGUAGGCGGAUGUGCCAGUCAGGGGUGAAAUCCCGGAGCUCAACUUCGGAACUGCCUCUGAUACAGCACGUCUUGAGUCCGGAAGAGGCGAGUGGAAUUCCUGGUGUAGCGGUGGAAUGCGCAGAUAUCAGGAGGAACACCAAUAGCGAAGGCAGCUCGCUGGGACGUUACUGACACUGAGGCGCGAAAGCGUGGGGAGCGAACAGG
This 253-nucleotide ribosomal RNA is filed under the name uncultured bacterium. RNAcentral describes it as "partial 16S ribosomal RNA". It matches the Rfam family "Bacterial small subunit ribosomal RNA", at positions 524 to 776 of the family's 1533-position model. The record is from RNAcentral.